CUGGGUAACCGAGCGCUCCGGCGCUCACCCCCACCCUGUGCUCACCCCCUCCCCUCGGCGUCGGGCGGGGUCCCCCUCGGGGGCCCCUCCGGCCGGAACCCAAACCCUGAACAACGCUGCAGCCUGAAGUAACAAGCAAAUAAUUA
Molecule: unclassified non-coding RNA, 146 nt
Filed under: uncultured Dothideomycetes
Lineage: Eukaryota; Fungi; Ascomycota; Dothideomycetes
Description: sequence contains ITS1
Source: RNAcentral